GAUUCCAUGGUGUAGUUGGUUAUCACACCUGUCUAACACACAGGAGGGCGCCGGAUCGAGCCCGGCUGGAAUCA
Molecule: non-coding RNA, 74 nt
Organism: Lichtheimia hyalospora FSU 10163
Lineage: Eukaryota; Fungi; Mucoromycota; Mucoromycetes; Mucorales; Lichtheimiaceae
Source: the annotation of a GenBank genome assembly